Molecule: ribosomal RNA, 239 nt
Filed under: Bacillus sp. cl95
Lineage: Bacteria; Bacillati; Bacillota; Bacilli; Caryophanales; Bacillaceae
Description: partial 16S rRNA. Bacterial SSU
Rfam family: Bacterial small subunit ribosomal RNA
Source: RNAcentral
CUUUAUUGGAGAGUUUGAUCCUGGCUCAGGACGAACGCUGGCGGCGUGCCUAAUACAUGCAAGUCGAGCGGAUUGAUGGGAGCUUGCUCCCUGAUAUCAGCGGCGGACGGGUGAGUAACACGUGGGCAACCUGCCUGUAAGACUGGGAUAACUUCGGGAAACCGGAGCUAAUACCGGAUAAUCCUUUUCCUCUCAUGAGGAAAAGCUGAAAGACGGUUUCGGCUGUCACUUACAGAUGG